RNAcentral lists this long non-coding RNA (32759 nucleotides) under Gallus gallus (chicken). The record is from RNAcentral. Lineage: Eukaryota; Metazoa; Chordata; Aves; Galliformes; Phasianidae.
CUCAGGUUCUCAGAGACCAGAAGACUCUUGGCAUCCCCCUGCAGCUCGGUGAAGAGGAUCUCCCUCUCGGCCGCGUUGGACGCCAUUGCGCUGGGGUUUGAAGUCCGCACCUGGACGCUGCCGCCGCCGCCGCCGGGGAGGGGAGCGAGGGAGGCGGGUCCGGGGCCGGGACUAAGGGCGCAUCGGGGGCGGGGGGAGCGCUCGGCACUGAGGCAGGGGGACGCGGGAGGGGCCGCCGCCGCCCCCCUACCGCUCAUGGGGGUCGCGCCGGGCGCUGGGCCGCGGUGCGGUGCGAUGCCGCCGUGCGCUCCCCCGCCCUGUCGCGGCGCUCGGCCCUGGCAGCGCUCGGCCGCCGCGGCUGCUGCUCCUGCGGCCGCCGCGGAUGUCGCACCAUUUGGCUGUCACCCUGUCGCAAAAGCGGCGCUGCUUUGCGGCACCCGGAGCACGUGACAGUUGGAGGGAAGGGCGGGGGGGGAAUGCGGGGGCGGAGGGGUGCCGGCUGCUGCCAGUGAACCUCUGCUCCCUUGCAGGCAGAGCGGCGCGCUCCGCUCAGCGGCGCUCCACACAGCAGCGCUCCCCUCAGCCCCCGGCUUCCCGCCGCCUCCCUCCUGCGUUUCCUCCUCCCGUGAAUCUCCGGUUCCCAGAGUCCCGUUGUUUCCCUCAGCGAUGGCUGGGGGAGGACGGCGCGUGGCAAACCCCUGAUGCUGAGGGUCUCUGGGGCUCGGCCAGCCGCUGCUGAGGGCAGCUGAAACCCCCCGGCCGCUUGUAGCUGGCCCGAGCCCGGCUGCCUCGCGGCCGCAGGGAAGGCAUCCACGCGCCACCCUGGGACCGGGAGCGGCGGGCCGGCAGGUUACGGCGAGCGGGGGCGGCGAACGCGGUUCCCCGAAGCGUAAAAGGGCUGAGCGACAGCGUGCGGGUGCCGGGUGAGUUCGGGGGCCGGCAGUGCCCGCUGAGUCCCCAGAGAGCUCUGAGAGCUUCGAGGGCAACGCCUGUGAGGAAGUGGUGCCUCUUCCCUCGGCGGCACGCGGCACCCGCUUUGAUUCUCGGUUUCCUGCCUGCGUGUUGUUCCACCUGUUCAUAAACGCUUUUGCUGCCUGUUCUGUACACACACGUGCAUUCGCAUUCCACCCUCAUUUCAGACGUUACGGUAGGCUAAUUGAGCUCAUGCAAAACGCUACGUGGAGGUAAUUAAAACUGUUUUUUUCCUAUGCCGUUCCUGCCAGGCUUGUACAAGUUGAGGUAUUUUCGAUAGGUACAUCUUCAUGCAAGUGUUUGUGCUUGCUGCACUCAUUUCAGUGCAUUGCUGUGUGGCUGCAGGCCCAUCAUAGUCUGUUUGCUGUAGAACUGCAGGUUCAAUUACAGAGGGCACUUUGUGGAGGGAAAAACAGAACAGAAGUCAUCAAAAAGAAGCAAACAAUUUACUACAAGCAAAUCUGAAACAUUCUGUGUUCUUACGCUUCCACUGAGCACCAGACAAACUCAACCACCUCAAGUGCUGCCUGUCAUGCAGUGCAGGAGAAGCCUAUGGAUGUCUUCAUGAGUUAGUUUUACAUAAAAGCAAAAUUAAGAUAUUUCUGCCCUCACAGUGCACUUCUAUACACAAGUGAGAUAUUUUCCACUAUGUUAAGAUUUUUCAUAAGCUUGCACACGUACAGAUCUCCAUGCAGACUUAGUUCACUGGAAGCCAAUGGCUUUAAUUUCUGUUUUGUGUGGCCAGGCAAUUGUAGGCUGGAAUGAAGAGCAGAAAGUAGAGAAGAGGAAAACUUUACCUGCCAGUUGUCCAACAGUCAUAGACAAAGAAUACUGAAAACAUUCAUAAAUCAGGGAAAAGAGUUUUAAAGCAGUGUCACACUGGUCUUCCUCACUGCUUGCUGUCAUGUACAUCAAGUGUCACAGGUGAAGAUACACCAUCCCAGGCUAAAUUGGGAAUUGUCUCAGUAAUGGGGUUAGCACUUGAAUAAAAGCGUAGAGGUGUGUGCCUUCUGCGAUGAAUGGAAAUUACUCACAUGCAGUUUGGGUUCUUGAGUUAUUUUUUACUUACAUUGCAGUUUCAAUCUACAGAAGGAAUUCUAACUCAGAAAGUCAUGUAGGUCAUAUUUCUGACUCUUGGCACCACAAACAUCUUUAUGUAGUCAAGACCCUCAAGGUACAUUACUCAAAUCUUAGGUAUAAAGAAGAAUUUCAGAAGUUGUUCAUACAGCACAAUUGUGAGAAAGGCUAUGUGGGACAGUCCUACUUAUUCUACGUUCACCAUACAUUCAUGUUUUUUUUUUUUUUUUUUGGAAAUACCAUAACCAGUGUUUCAGUUAUCCAGUGAAAUCUGUGCUAGCAUAGCUUUGUUGUAACUCAUAUGAAGUGGUCAUAAGUUGGCAGGCAGAAGUCAAAAAGCUUGGUGAAGUUUUGGGUGCAUUGUGGAACAAGGUGGGGGAGUAAGGAAAGACAAUUAUACAAUAAUUUAAUCUUUUAGAGCAUGCUAGAAUGAUGCCAAACUUUAGAUUUUUUUUUUUUGAGAACAAGUGUUUGAAGAUGUAUACAAGUAAUCAGAAAUUACUGUAUGUUAGUCACUUCAUAUACAUGGUCCCUUACUGCUGCUCAUCUACUGGCCUGCUGCUAUUGCAGAGGAAGAGGAAAAGUCUAUGUGUGUGCUUUGUAAGGUGUGGUCAGAAGGAAACAGAAAACCCAGAGAAAACUUGUAGCUGUAUGAGCAGGUGUCAACAGUUAGCUGAACUCUGAAACAGGCAGCUGAUUUAAUUCAUACUCAACCUAGACUAACCAUUGAGUGAAGGCUACACAUAGGCCCUGUCUUGACAGGGAUAACUAUAAGCUUUUUUGUAUUCCCUGUGUAAUUUAUACAACUUGUAAGGACAAGGUCCUGGAUUCUUUGAUAGAAGCGUAUUGGUACAAGAAUUGAAAAACAAAACAUUGUUAGCUACAUCUCUGAUAGUUAAAUCAUUCUUCCUCCAGAUUCUGGAAAAUACAAGGCAGUGCUGGACAACUGUAGCUCUACAUUUAAGUACUCUGACAGUGAAUUACUGAGCAAGAGAGAACAUUCCAAGUGAGUCUCAAAAUAGAAAGCAGCUAAGUACGUAAGUCCAUGAAUUUAGCAUUAUAUGGAAUCCUGAGUUCAGCCCUUGCCUUAAGAUGUCUGAAUGCUUUUUCUUCAGCACUUAUUCUGUUGGAUCAUCCCUUCAAUUAUCAUGCUGGAAAAGCAAAACAAAUAGAAGGGAUGACAGUACCCCUGACUAAAUUACAUUUGAUUAUUAUUUUUUUCUUCAGGUUGUUUAUUAAAACCUUUGUCCUAAAGAGCUGGAAGAGUAAAUUGCUGUGACUUCCAAUAUUUUAUGUAUUACAAAGUGUAAUGCUAUAAUGGAGUGGAAAGUACUGCAAUAAUAGCAGGGUGGCAAAAUCUUUGGCUGCAACAAAUAAGAACAAGCCCGAACACAGCAGCUGCAGAAAUGAAGGAAAAGAGCUACUUACCUUUGGAGGGCCUCAAGUAAGCAUAGAUCUCCAGCAAGAGAUGCCCUCACCUCCACUGCCAACCCUUAAAUGAGGUCUGGGAAGGAGUGGAUCCUGGCUCCAAUCCUUCUGGUCACUCAGGGGCAUUACAUUCACCUGAGCUCCCCUGGGUCGGCACUGCCUUCCCACCAGGUGCUCAAUCACUGGUUCAGGCCCUGACUUAGCAUUUCCACUACACAAGUGUACCUUAUGAAUCCUUGGGCAUAUUACAGAACUCAUUAGCAAAAUAUUAAGGAUUUUGUAAGCAAAAUGCAAGAUAUUUUUUAGACUAGGUUUAAUCAGUCCUUUAUAUAAUGAAAGGGAGAGCCUGAUUUCACUGAGUGAUGCAUGCAGAAAUUAGGAUGGAAGGUAUGUGAAGAGCAGCAGACACAUCUAAUCAUUGUACUGUUAUACUUCUUGACAUCAAGAUAUUACCAGGAAAAAAAGUUUUUCUUUAAGCUUCUGUUUAGUUUUGCCUGUUUAAAUUAGUGAUGUAUUCUAGAGGGACAACAGCGUAUAAAUGUGAUUGGUGUGGAUAACAUGAGGGAAGAAAUGAGAUCCACCUGUUAGUAGGUGAGUGAGGGUACAGCAGUUUUAGCCCAGCCCCAAAAUUUUUAGGCACAAAAUAAGAUGUAGAAAUUAAUGAACUUUUUUUGAUAGGGGAAAGAUGAAUUAGGUUUGCAAGCAAUAUCGAUAUCUGUUAAAGAAAAUCCUUUUCCCUCUCUUUUUUUUCCACUCUUCACCUGCAAUGUGAGAGUACAAGUCUAAUUUAUGUGAGUAUUUUCUCUAAGUUUUUUUGCUUAGUAAUAAUGGUAAAUGUAUAAAAGAAAUGUAGUCCUGCUGUUAGCUUUCAGUUUUUUUUUCUUUUUUUUUUCUCCAUUAUUUUUUCAGUAAUGUUGAUACCUGUUCUCCCUGAUUUGUAGACAUAGAAACAUUGCUCUUGUAUUUUAAUAGUUAUUCUAAGAUGGAUCCUCUAAAAACCCUAUGAAAUCCUAGAGAUAUCAGGCAUGGGAAAAAUGAGAUGAACACAUACACAUAAAUUUUAAUUUUUAUAAGUUUUUACUCUUUACCUUCCUAUUUUGCUUCUCAGAUAAUUGUGGGUGUAGGAGAGUGCUUUUCUUCAAGAGCUUCCAGUAAUAAUUCUUGCAAUGAAUUGAGAAGGAAAUGUGUUGAGGUUGGAUUAAUAAAAGAGCUUAAUAUCAUAAUCUUUUUUAGACCAGGCCUUGCUGAUGUUUACUAAAGAAAAUGCUAAAUCAGGAAAAACAUCAAAGGUGUGGGUAAUUUUAGUGUGUUUAGCUUUAGAAUGUUGUUUCCUUUAUUGGAAACUCACUUCUUCCACAGUAUUUCUUAGAAGUUAAUCUGAGUGGGUGAUUUCUCAAAGGGAAUUCCGUAUUUUAAAAAAAUCUAAUGAACAGAAAGAAAAAAAAACAACCAAAAAUAUACAUAUAAACAAAUAAAACCCUACCUCCUGAGAGAGAGCAUGAGAGCUCUGAGGCUGUUGCUGAUGUACCGCUGACAGUGAGGAGGACAAGAGGACGUUUCCGAAUAUAAAACUAAAGUGACUAUGUAAGUUCAUUUAGCUCUUCUUGUGCCUGCUUGCAAAUGUUGUGUAUUCCUAAACUAUUCAUUUAAUACUCUUUUAAUUACAUAGCUAAUCUUAACAUUUUUGAGUGAGUUACUAUGACAUAAUCAUAGAUCUGCAACCAAUUGCAGUGUGCUUUAUAGUUAAAAAUUGCCUUCUGGAUUUACAUACCUAUUACCCAGGGCUAGAUGUAGCAUAUUAUCACGCAGCAAUGUAGGCAGAUGCCUUGAGGAGUGGAGUGCAACAAACAUUAUCUGUUUUAUUAAUUCUGGACCCUGGGAAGACUUGCAGUGAGUGCGAAAAGUGUGCUGGAGGGGAAGGAGAAUAAUUCCUGUUCUUAUCUACUCUUAUGAGGAGAAACUGUGACUUAUGAGUGACAGUUAAUGCUUGUGGAAAGAACGUGUUCCUACCUGUGCAGAGCCACCUGGAAGAUCAGAUCUUAUUUCUUGAAAGGCGAUCAACUUGGAUUAUUUGAAGUAAUAACAAAAUGCUGUAUGUCUUUACAUUAAGGCUAUGAUCCCGCAAGUAGAUCAACAUGAUGGUUCUUUACACCUAUGCUAAGUCCCAGUGAUUCUAAUUAAACUUGAUGAUAAGAUCAAGCUUAAAGUACUCAGUGCUGUUUCUGCAGUGAGCACAGAUGGGCUUCUGUGUUUUUAUUGAAUCCACUGAAGUGAAUUGGGCUUGGUGCAGCAUUUGUAACAUUAAGGCCUUAUUUUCUAUGAAUGCAGAUAAGAGAUCAGUACAAAUAAGGUAACUAUUACCUGUGCAUGGUUCCUAACCUUAUUUGCUUUCUUUCUGUAAAUAGUAAGCACGUUAAUAUAAGCAGUAUCUGAUCUAAAAUAUCCUAGUUCAUUACAAAAGUAAUGCAGGAUUCCAUGAAGAUGCAUUCAAGUGUGACUCAUGUUAUGCUGUUAUGAAGAAGGCUGAUUUUUCUGAAGAAACGUUGGUGAUUAUGACCUACAGUUUUUAUAGGGUGACAUUAGAAUACUGAGGCUUUGGUGGUGAUUGAAGCAUUUUCACACGUGGCUUUUGAGUGUGCAACUUCCGUGAUUCUGUGGAAAAUCUAAUUCCUACAGAGUACUUUGCAAAUACAAAAAUAAAACAACAGGCAAGCACAAAAGCAAUAGCAAAUUUAAACAAAAAGAAAUAGCACAGAGUUUGAGAAUUAUAGUGUAUCUGAAGUCACAGUCUGUGUUUGGAGGAAAGGGAAAUGUAUUGCAAGGAAUGAGUCAGACAUGGGAAUCCCCAGAAACAUCUCCACUGAGUAGAGCAUGUGCUUAAAAAGCUGCUGCAAGGACAUCUCUGCAUGCUUUUAAGAUGGGAUUUGACCUAUUUUUGAAAGAUCUGUUAUUGCCAGUAGUGCUAGCCUCUGCAGAUUUGCUAGCAGCUCCCAUCAGAGUACUCAAAAGGCAGAAGAUUGUGUCUAUUCUCCACUGCAUGAUAGUUAGUUAGGUAGGUACUGCAGAUAGGUACUGCAGAUAGGUAUUGACAGACUGAUCUCAUCAUGUGUUAUGGAAGAUGAUGUGUGGACUCAUGAAUUUUUGAUUAUCCUCAGCCAAGUUUAGUUUGCUGUUCUGAAAUCUACAGCAAAAACUGACAGAGGCAGGAACUGAGAAGAGGUACUGUUAUGGUGCCGUGCCUGGUGAUGUAGUGUCCAUACAUCAAAGCUUUCUAUAGCUCUAAUAUGUUUGUGGGCAAUAUAGACAACUAUGCCAAAUGAUCCUGAAACAAACUUCAUCAGACACUCAGGCUUAGAUGGAAAUGAUUUUUGGUCAUGAUUAACUUGAUGGCUAUUUUUUCUCUCUGUCUUUAUCUCUCCUCAGAGAGAAUAAUCUGCAUGUGUAACUCCAUCAGGGAUUGAAGUCCUAAGUAGUUAUUAACUUGUACUUAGUAUGCAAUGAGUCUGAAUUAAAAGGGUAGAUCUAUCUUCAUCUAAUGAACACUUAAAACAAGAGUGACCAGGCAGGUUUAUAGCUGGCUGUAAUUGUGUUUUCCAUGCUCAUCAAAUAAAAGGUGCCUUUCAUUCUUGUAUGUCCAUAGUACUUGCUUUAAUUGAACUGGCAUCCCCAAGAGAGAGAGCUUAAAAGUUUUCAGGAAAAAGGACAAAUGUGUCAAACAGUAUCAGGGGAAAGAUGCAUUUGUAAAAAACUUUUGUGCUCAUACUAAAUAUGCUGUUGAUUCCCUUCCACUCUGCUCCCUCUUCUCCAUUCUCCCCCUGCCUCCCCUGUCUUUUAUUCUCAUGCUAUUGCAAACAAAUGCACUCCCUUGCAAUAUAGUGUAGUGUCAGAUUGUUUGAUGCACAUUCUUGUGCUUUUGAGCUCAAUGGUUCAGAGAAUUUGUUACAGUGUGUUCUAUAUGUACCCUUAGUAAGUUGUUGUUUAAGCAUCAGUAGAAAGAAAAAGCAUUAUUAUUACUUUAAAUGUUGAUUUCCUUUUUUGAGUAGAAUAGCAAUAGUAGAGGUUGGACAGGGAAAUUAGUCACACGUUCUGUUUGUAAUACCUUUUUAACACAUCUUUGGUGUUCAAAGGCUUUCUCUUAUGUGGAGAAGCUUGUAGGUACAUGAAAAUAUUCCUGAAAAUACCCCAAAUGUAGAGAGGCUUAGGUGAGAUUUUCAUGCUGUAGACUUGCAAAGUUAAUUGUUGAGUUGUUCCUGACUGAGAAGUUAAAAGGUUAGGUGUCUGAAAGAGCAACAACAGUUGAGUUCUUUUACCUUCCAUGAUUUAAUUAGGUAUGUAGAUGCUAGUGAUUUUUUUAAUAGCAUGAUUCUUUUUCCUAUGAUCACUUAAUGUUACAAUUUAGCCUGUUAUACAUUAUAGAAAAGAAAAACCUAGAUAUCUAAAUGACUAAGCUGAAUUCAUUUGCUGUAAGUGGCUUCAAAGUAUCUUGAAAUAUAUUCACUGAAAUCCUGCACAGUCAGUAUGGCCUGUGAUUUGAACCAUAGUAGUUGCAUAACAAAAUAUAUCAAUAGAAAUACAAAAUGCUUGCAAACUGCUUUGCUGCCUAGCAGAUAGUUUUCAGUCAGUGAACUUGUUUUUUCUUUGAAAGAAAAAUGAAGCUAGAAGCUACUGAAGAACAUGUGGAAAAAUGUUUUUGUGUCUUGGUCUGUCUUCUGUAUCUAUGCUGCCAAAGAGCAGUCAAUCAGAGGCAAACUCUGAGGUGAUGCUGAUGGAAGAGAAGGCUGAAGUAUACAAGGCUGGUAUUUGAAAUGUGAUAACCUGAAUUUUCUUUGCACCCUCAGUAAGUUUGCAGAUGACACCAAGCUGGGAGGGAGUGUUGAUCUGCCAGAGGGGAGAAGGGCACUACAGAGGGACCUGGAUAGACUGGAUCAAUGGGCCAAGGUCAAUGGCAUGAGUUUCAAUAGGGCCAAGUGUCAGGUCCUGUAUUUUGGUCACAACAACCCCAGGCAACCCUACAGGCUUGGGGAGGCGUGGCUGGAAAGCUGCCUGAUGGAAAGGGACCUUGGUGUACUGAUGAACAGUCGGCUGAAUAUGAGCCAGCAGUGUGCCCAGGUGGCCAAGAAGGCCAAUGGCAUUCUGGCUUGUAUCAGGAAUGGUGUGGUGAGCAGGACUAGGGAAGUCAUCCUGCCCCUGUACUCGGCAUUGGUGAGGCCUCACCUCGAGUACUGUGUUCAGUUUUGGGCACCUCAGUACAAGAAGGACAUGGAGGUACUGGAGCAGGUCCAGAGAAGGGCAACGAGGCUAGUGAAGGGCUUGGAAAAUCAGCCCUAUGAGGAGAGGCUGAGGGAGCUGGGGCUGUUUAGUCUAGGGAAGGGGAGGCUGAGGGGAGACCUUAUUACUCUCUUCCAGUACCUGAAAGGUGCUUACAGUGAGAGCGGGGUAGGUCUCUUCUCACUGGUGACAGGUGACAAGAUGAGGGGAAAUGGCCUCAAGUUGUGCCAAGUAAGUUUAGGUUGGACGUUAGGAAACACUUCUUUACAGAAAGGGUGGUUAAACACUGGAAUAGGCUCCUCAGGGAGGUGGUUAAGUCACCGUCCCUGGAUGUGUUCAAGAGCCAUUUGAAUGUGGUGCUCAGAGAUAUGAUUUAGCAGAGGACUGUUAGAGUUAGGGUACCACGGUUAGGCUGCAGUUGGACUUCAUGAUCUUUGAGGUCCUUUCCAACCUGAGUAAUUCUAUUAUUCUUUACAUUCAUUGAUCUCUUUGCUUGCUGCAAUGUUGAUGUGUUAGCUUUAAUGAAGACCUCUUUUACAGAGCUGUUAGUAAAGUCUUUAACUAGUGCAAUGCGUUUUUCUGUGUGCUCUCAUUCUUCCCUGGUUGACUUGCUCCUUGAUUUUUGUGUGUCUGUUCCCUUUUUCCUUUUCCCCCACUUAGUGGAAAUAGUGCAGUGAUGGAACAAAGCAUGAAAAUGAAGUAUAAUAAUCUAAAAAUAAAAUAAUAAGGCUUACCUUCCUUUUGUCCUAUAUUUUCUUUUCAUCCCAACAUCCAUCUAGGAGGCCAAUCUUCAGCUACAGUGUCCUUAAAACCUAUUUGAUUGAGGUAGGAGAAUUUAUCUUAAUUUAGCUAAGAUUAAUGUAGUCGCAAUAAUGAUGGAGAUGAUGGGCACAUAUCAGUUAUGUCCUAAGUAUUUUGGAACCAUGACAGAAUAUUGUAUGCCAGAAGUAUAAAAGUACCUUAAGAGUUGCAUAAGCAGCAUGAUGUUUAUUUUUUUUAUUAAUCAUGAAAGAUAUUAGUAACAAUUAUUAAAAGAUACCAACUUGUAUAGACAUUAAAAGAAUGCAUUUUGCCAUGGUCCUAAACACAAUGGUAUGUCUAGUGGCUAUUUACACCAGCCAUGCAUGUAGAAGCUGGUUUAUCAUCAGAAAAGUGCAAUAAUAGACAGGGUAGCAAAGGAACAGUAAAGCUGUAUACCGUAUUAUGAGACAUGUCGAGUUUAGAUACAGCAGACAAUAUGUUACAACUUGGUUUUGUAAUAUUCAGGUUAUCAAAACAUACUUUGAAACUGUGAAUAUUUAGUAUAAUCAAUAGAAAUCAUUUGAAAGAAAAAGGUGAAGCAGAGGUCAGUUGGGGGUUGCCAUUCACGGGCUGCCCUUAACUGUUUAUUGCUUCCCCUUUUCUCAGCAAAUCCUCUAUUUAAGAAGGAUUGUAAGGCCUGUGUAAUCAUUGAGGAUUUACUUCCUUUGGUGCCACAGAGCUGCAUUCAGCAGCAAUGCUACUGUUUCUUCUUUUUUUUUUUAAAUGUACACGACACUUCUAAAAAGAUGAAUAUGAAUGUUACCAGGAAGUGUUUUUGAUAGCAACAGUUAUAAAUUGUUUGAAAUUUGAAAUGUAGAUAGUCUUAUGUUCAAAUUCUGCCCUUAUGCUGACAAAAGACGCAGUAGUUCUGCAGAAUCUUAGGUGCAGAUGAUGUAAAUGGGAAUUCUGGCUAAUGAGGUCAAGAGUUUUUUAUUUUUUUAACAUGUGCUGGUACAAAAUCUUCUUGAUUCUCAGUUCUGUUUUAAAAUAUAGAGGAAGUCUAAAUAUUUAAUAGUUAGGGUGAAGGCUAAGUCACCACUUCCUUCACUGUCUGUGUUGAACAGAGAACAUAAUGCUUCAAGAAAACUGCAUGAUAUUUCUUACUGCUUAAUGUUCCUGGAAAAUAUGUGGUGUAGAUUGAUAGUUCAAAUAUUAAUUUCAGUUAUCUAAAGUGCUUGAGAAUUUCAGUUUACCCCACACUGUGACCACUCUUUAUUUUAAUGUAGGUAGAAUACUGAAAAGUGCUUAUUCAUAUACAGCUUUCUUACUUGCAUAAUCCGUAAGGACACAGUAUUUCCAAGUAGCUCUAGUAAAAAGGGGGAAAAAAUAAAUUUGCUAAUUGAAAAUUUGUUAUAAAUGAAAAAUGGAAUUUAAAGAAUAUUUUCUGUAUCAAUGGAAAUUUUAAUAUUAAAUUGCUCCAUCUAGUGGCAAACUUCUGAAGCUGAUAGUUUUCCUUCAGUGAUUAUUAUCCCUUAGUGAUUAUUACUCCUUUUAAGGAUUUAAGAUAAAAUUAUGCUACUUUCCCCUUGGAAGUUCUUUGCCAAGGGAACUCUGUAUGUAUCAAGAUACAAGCCCUGAUUUUUUCUUCCAGCGAGUUCUGAGGAAUUUCACUUUUUACUUCAAUGAAAGCAAGCAUAAUGUGCCCAAGUGUGAGAACUGCAUUUGAGUAGCUGGUUUGAGUUAUUCUUGGGACUGGGAGGGCAAAGGGAAGAGGUGGAUUGCAUCAAUAAUUUAUUCAAAAAAGAUGAAGUCUGAUUCCUUGGCAAAUAAUUAAAAUACACAAUGAAUCAUAAUACUGAGUACGGUGUACUCAGAUGCAUCUUGCAUUCUAAAAUGAGAUAAGUUUCUGUUGCAGGAUGUUUCAGUCAAAUCCUAACUGGCUUUGAUAUUGCAUUUUUUAUGAUAGUAGUGAACUAAUCAAAUGAUUUGUUGAUGUUGAUAUCAUUUGUCAGCAAUUGGAAUUCUUCUGCCAAUCAAAGAGAAAACCUGUGUGUUUCCUAGUCAUAGGAGAAUGGGGAGAGAAUUCAAAAGGAAAAUGACCAAGGAAAGGCUCUCUGAUGCCUUCUUCCUUUGCAUGCCUUGAAAAGACACAUUCAGACAGAACAGAAGGGAGCUCUUGAGGAGCUUGUGUAUGUAUUUCCCCCUACCCACUGCUGUGAUCUCUUAUGCAGCUGGCUUUAAAGAGAACUCAUGGACAUAUGAAUGCACGAUCAUAGAACAAAGAAUCAGUUUGAGAGUAGUUGCACAGUAUUGUUUUUCUGUGUCUGAAUGGAGCACAAAACUGUGCAGCCAGCAGCUCAAGUCUGGCUGCGAAGUAAAAAUAUUUAAAAAUGAAAAGGAAGAAGAUGGGAAAGCACUGAAAUAGUUUAAAACCAUAUUUUAAGUUUUAGAUUAAUAAUAAUAAUAAAAAAGUCUGUGCUUGAGAAUGUAAUGGAUGCAUUGAACUUGCUGGCACCCCAUCCUUUAAUUUUCUCAUUCAUUUUUCAGUUUUGGUUAAUCUGCCACAUAAAUAAUGUAUACAUCUUUAAUUUCCUGGUAGAUUAAUUCUCAUUUCUCAGUCCAAGUCUGAAUACUCCUUUUAGAUUAAGCAACUGUUCUCAACACCAGAAGAGUUGCAAUUUAUUCCAGGACUGUUCUGUUAUUCAAGUGAAUAAUGGAACACAAACUUUGCAGUGCACUUUCCCAGACUUCCUCUUCCCAAUUAGUUUGGUCACUUAAAAUUGCAGAUCACUGUUCCUAUCUUCCUUACCCAGGCAAAUGAACCCAUUAAAUAUCACAAUUGCAUAACUUCCCUACAUACUAACUAAAGUUUCCUUGCAAUGUUCGUUUUAGCUUCAGCUGUAUACUUUUGGUUGAACUUGCAGUCUUUGAAAUAUAAGGCCACACAUCUUGAUAAUAGUGCAUGAGCAAGUAAUUAACGUUGCUAUGAAUUGGAAUGACACUUUUUAUCUUUUGUAGUUCUUACAUAGCUGAGGUCUUCCUGGGCAAUAAAGUCAAUUAGGUGUACCCCAUCUCUCCUCAUUUCUAGUGGCUGAGGGAUUCAGGGGUACUCUUUAUGAACUGUAAUUCUUGAAGAUAGGCUGUAUCAGAGUUGCUGAAACUGAGUUUCUUUCCCUGGUACUUGCAUCUAUGUAGUGCUGACAGAAAACUGAGCAAUAAGCUUUGGCCUUUGCUCCUCCUGUUGAGCCGGGGGAACAGACAUAGUGGUGAUUCUGAUGGUUUUCAAGGGUCAGGGAAGGGAUUAUUAUCAAAAAUGUGAUGGGGGGGGAGGGGGGAAGUGUGCUGUUUGAAUCCUUAAAUUGUUUGAAAUACUUUGACAGUCACAAAUCAAAGACAGUUUAGUUUGGAGUAUUGACUUCUGUUCAGUUUGUCUCUUGAAAUUGUUUGAUCUCUUUCCAUUAACCUUACUAGAAUUUGAUGCUGACUAUUUUAGGUAUGUAUCCUGUCCAUUGAAAAUAACGUGACAUACAGAAUUGCUUGUGUGUGUGUGUGUGUGUCCUUGAUCAAACUUUUCAUUGGUAAGUGAGACUAACUAAGAAGGAUUCAUCUUCUCUUCCAGGUAGUUGGAAACAUAUUAGUAUCUGUUGAACUUUUGAGAGGUGGGUAGGUUCUUUCCCUGAUUGCUUUGGCAAUAUAUCUGUAUUUAUUUUGAAGGACUUUUUCAUAAUACUGCCUAGCUAUAGAUUACUCCACAGUGCCAACAUAACAUUUUAAAAUGGGUAUAUAUUAUCCAUCUUGAUUCUGUUAUCAAGAUUCAGUAGUCAGGUUCUUGUUUCUGUAUGCCAUAAACCUUGAUCUUUUUCUCAGGAGAGUAUUGUUAGGCAGUGCUAGACAUGGCUUAUAGUUCAGCUAACCAGUAUCAAAAUUUUCUCACUUACUAUAACAUGCAUUUCUUGAUAGGAAAAAAGGUUAUCUUUUUUUUUGUCACACUUGUUGCAUGGUUGCAUAUCAUCUUGGAGGUGCUCAAAGAUAACCUAGCUCUUUUUUCUAUUGUUACAAUCUCAGCUCAGAGGGACAUUUUAAAAAAGUAUUUAGAUUUCCAGAUUUUCAAUACUGUAGUACUGAACACUCCAAGGUUUUGAGAUUACUCUAUCUUAAAACAGCAGAAAGCUCCUCUGAGUGAACGAAUGAGAAACAUUCAUGGAGUUUUUGUACUGUUUCUCCUUUCCUGACUAUUUCAACUCACUAAAGCAGAAAGAAUAAAUUUGAAAAUUAGCUCCAGAAAUACUGGAAAGCAGUGAACACUUUUGCUAAUUUAAAAUAUUGAACUGGCCUUUUUGGCCACUCUUUCUCCCCAUAGGUUGGGGAAUACAAACUUUAUCACUCCUGGUUUAGGCACACUUAGUGUCACUGACUGAAUAGGUAGAGAUGAAAAGAUAAGGAGGUAGUUGAAUUUAAAUGCUCGUUUCUUCUUUGUAACUAUUGAGAUUUCAGAAAUGGUGCCAAUUACAAUAAAUUGUAACUGCAGUUUUGGCAUUGCUAUGAAUUAAAUUUUGCAAAUGAAUUGUGUAUAAUGACUUUCUCACGAAAGUUCUGAUUUGGCUGGUUUUAGUUGGGUCGAAGUCCUAGGAAAAUCCCCAUAAAAACUCUAGGAUCAGCAUCUAGACUUUACCACAGCUCAGUAAUUGUUCUCUUUAAUGUGACUUCUUAGAGCACUCUAACAAGCAAGGAAUAAACUUAUCUUAAGAGCCUAUCUUAUCAAGAUUUAUAGUCAAUAACUUAUGUAGUUUUGUGAAGUAGACGUCUGUGUGCAAAUAGCAAGGCUAAACUGACUGUACAUGCAGUAAACAAAAACUUCAGCUAGUUUUUCAUCCUGAAUACCAACUGAAAAAUACUUAUAUAACUCCACCUAAUGGAAACCCUUUCAUAAUCCUGAUCCCAUAUCUAGUUUUAUCAAAUCUACAGCCAGAUAGAAUUUAACUUAAGUUUUAUUUGAACUUCUGUAGCCAUGAUUUCACAUUUGUUAAAUUUGUGAAUGUUCUUUUUAAUAAAAAAACUACUUUUUUUUAAUAUAAAUCCUUAUAUAGAGGUUUCAGUCCUUGUUCAGUUCAAAUAGAAAAAUAAAUAUCUAUUUGUUUAGAAAAUGUCUUCUGAGCCAUUACAUCUGCAGACAAAGGGAGUUCAUUUCAAAUUGAUAAAUGUACUGUAUCUGAAAUAAAUGUAUCUGAAAUUGCUUGGUCCAGUCACUUUUUUUUCUUUUCUCAUCAGUCUGAAAAAUCAAAUGAAACAUCUCUGAAGAUCCCUGAUAGAUGUUGUCAGCUUUGUACAGAUAUUACAGUGUAGCUCAGGAGAUGUUCAAAGCGGGGCAAUAAUUAUCAAUCUAUUUUCAAAUAUCCCAUAGUAAAGUUUUUCUAUUAGAUUAUGCCAAACCUAUUGCUGAAGUGCUAUGCAUUUUUCUGUGUUGUGCAUUUAUGGGUGGGAGCUUUUACAUACAGAUCUUUAUAAGUAUGCAUGAGAGAAUGAUAUAUUGGUGAUAUUUCCUACUUCUAUUAUGCCAUCCCGAAGUGCAUUUUUUUUUCUGUAAACCAUACCAUCUAUUUCUCAUAUUGUAGACAAACUGAUUAGUUUAUUUUCUUGGAAACCACAUGUAACGUGGUUUCAUCUCAUAAUGUAUGCACAAUUUUUCCAAAUGUUUCUAAACAAUGCUUCAGGGCCUGAUCCGGUAAUUCAUUGGCAGGAAUGUUAAAGUACAGGAAACUGUUACAAAGAAAAACAUUUUCUUCCUAAAAAUGGAACUUUGACAAGAUAGUAUCAUUAAUUCCUAUAUUUAUUUUUCUCAGCUUGCAACGACAGUGGGAAUUUUCUUAAUGUACCUAGACUGCAGAGUCAUAUAUUGAUAUGAUUUGACUAAAGCAAGUUCAUGCACUUAAACUGCAUAAAACUAUAAAAAUAUUGCUGCUGAUUUGGUUACUUUUUGGAUGUAUUCAGUGAACAAAUAACUGUUAGUCAACAGCAUGAAAAUGCAGCAUGGGGAACGCAGACUCUUGUAUCCUUAGGCUGUUCAUACAAACUCUGCAGGAGAUCCUGGGCUGUGAUAGAAGUGGAAAUACGUAAGAGCUCUAAAAUUCUCUCAGGAACCCCCUCCAGUCCUUAGCAGAAUGGCUGGCUGCAAGCCAUGCUGUCACUGGCUGUUGGCCAACUCCAGUACUCUGUGACCCCUUCUGACGCAGCUUGUGGAGCAUGAAGGAUGAGCUAAUGGUGUUUCAAGCAGCAUUAGUGAAUUAAGUGUGGAUUCUCACCCACAGCAGUGUGGAAAGACUCAUGGUUUUAAGGAGAAGGAACUAGGCAAGAGAAACCACCUCCUAGAUUUAGACUGAAUCUAAGCGAGUAGAAGGUAUCCUUUCUUUUCCUAUCACCCUCAUGUAUAGCAUUGUUUGUUUAUUUUCUUGCCACAGUAGAAAAAUAAACAACUGAGUUUGUUAGCACUUUGUAUAGGAUAUUUUGUAUGUGAGCUCUGAAGGCUGCCUGAAAUAUAAUUAUCAGUGUUUUUCUGUUUUAUCCUUCAUCUAAAACAUAGUGGAAUAUCCUGGGUUAGGGGAAAAAGCCUACAACUCUUAAUUGCUGUUGGCCUUAAUAGGGUUAAAAUGUACUUGUGCAUUUUAAUAUGCUGAAGUAUUCUCACUUAGAAAGUACUUGGGAAAGAAUAUUUCAAAACUGUUUUUGAAAAAUGGAAUGCUGAUUUGCUAAACGCAUCUUGUAAAAAGUAUUUUGCCAUCUCUUGAGAUCAAAACAAUUCUGUCUUGAAAAUCCUAAAGUGGAGCAAAACCACUAUGAAACUAGUCUCAAGAUCAUUGUGAUGCAGCUUGUGGAUAUUCCUUAAACAAGGCACCCCAAUGAUAAUGAUUUGCCUAAAUUAUUUAAGAAGCUGAUCCAGUAACAUGAGUGAAUGUUCUUUUACAGUAUAAGUUUGCUAAAUUGUGUUCCAGUCAGUCUCUGUUUGCUUGCUUAUUGCUGUGGUGAAAUAGGCAAUGCAGUAGUGUAAUCAAGUCUUUAUUGUAUUGGUGUAAUUUGCUUGUUUUCUUUAUUGUUUCAGAACCAUCCCAAAUUGUUAUGAAAUGAAUAACACUCAUUUUCUUGCUAGAUGGAUGAUUGAAGCUGCUGAGUGAAUUUUUCCGUAACAUUUUUGGGUUUCUGUGAUAAGGAAGUAUCCAAGGCUGCUCUUUAAUUUUGUCUGUUAUACAGAAAGGUUUAUUUUCUUAUUUUUUAAGCUUCAGUAUGUGCAGCCUGAUUCUUCACUGCAUAGAAUGAAACAUGAUCCCUUAAAAAAAGCUUUUGUACCACAAAAGAUAUCAAUAAGAGUGUAUCCUGAACACCUUCAUUCCUAUGAACAUUUCUUGCACAAAAUUAUAAUUACCUGUAUGAGUAGUGCCAUUGUUUUCAUCUUGACUACAUUUACAGAGGUAUCCUCUGUAAGUUUGGCCUAGUGAGGCCUGCAACUGUUCUGUUGCUAUAAAAGGAAAAUUCCUUCGCUGAAUUCACUGUAAAUUGAACUGGGUUCACAGUGAGCAAUGCUUAAGCCCUAUAGUGCUGUUGGAAAACUCAUUCUUCAAAAAGAAUGACAUCAUCAAUAACAUGCCUUUGGAGUUGGGAAUGGGUGGAGUGGUGGUGCUUAGCCUACUAGGUUGCUCCUGACAGAAAGAGUUUGAAUGGAUCUUAGCCUCAUCUGAGGCUUGGUUAUUGAGAGCUGUUCCACUGCCUCACGCUAAUCACAAAUCAAUUUGUGGCUGUUUGAAUGUGUUUUAUAAUGCAGUGCACCCACAACUCCCUCAAGUCCUAUUCUGUUUGUGUGGCUAAAUGUUUGAAACCAAGCUAAUAGCUCAUGAGAACCCUGGAAAAAAAAAAAUAUAUAUAUAUAUAUUUUUUACAGAUUGUAACAAUAAUCAGUACUUUUCAGUGUCCAGAUGCUUGGAAUUCUUCAUUCAGUUUUCAUUUAUGAAAUGUUACUGAGUUUAGGUAAGGCAUUACUUUUUCAUGUAAUAUUGUGUAUCACUGUUUUUCUUGUAGUCCUUGGUCAGAAUGGGUUUCUUUUUCAAGGAGAAGUGAAUUCACUUGGUUUAAAAUUGUUUUUAUUUAUUUAGGCUAGCAAAUGUUUUGUGUGGCAUUGUAGCACUUCCCCGUUACAUUUUUGUUAUGCAAAGUGACAUCCAUCCUGAGACUGUGCUUGUUUUUUGUAGUGCUUGCCUUUGGUCGGCACUGUACCAACACAAAGCUUUAAAAAGAGUAAAUUACUCCUUUGAGGAGAGAGUAAAGGCUGGAAGAUUGGCCCUACUUUUGACUGUACUCCUACUACUUAAAACUUACAGUUUAUAUUAGCGUCUUUAUCAGCACAUAACCACCUUCUCCAAGAAGUAUAUCUUCCAAACUUCUUGAGUAGAUGAAAUAUCUCCCUUAAAGUGUAACAAGUACUGCCUGUAGAGUCAGUGAGCUUUACCUCCUACUUGACUUUUCUGAAAUGUCCUGUGCUUCUGGCUCUUUAAUUGAACGUGGAGAGUGUUCCUGCACUUGUACAGCAAGGAGGCAGAUUAUGGCAGUAGUCAGUAUUAUGAGGAACAUAGAAUGAGCAAUACAUCCUGCAGAAUUCUGGAAAGGAUAAAGAGGGACACUUAAAGACAGAUUUAUUUAUUUCUUUCAAAGCGGUCUCCUAAGCCUGUGAAAGCUUGUGAAUCAGAGUUAGAAGAUAAGAGAAUUCUUGAUCAUAGACCGGAACCUUCUUCUUGUCUGUCUUGGAAGCUUGUUUUUCUGAAGGUUACAGAAUCUUUAGUAAGUUUUGAUUCCAGAAUCCUUGCGUAAAUAGUCCUCUGAAAUAAAAUUGUUUUCAGGCUUUAGGAGGUAGCACUACCAGAACUAGGUAUGGAAGCCUUUCCUUUUCUUUCAUGAUUAUUUGAAGAUUAAAUGCAAAGUUGGUAGGGACAUAGCUCCUGAGUAACAAUUAUACUUUCCCUAUUGAAAGUAUGUUUUGGAACUAGUUCUUUCAUAAUUUUAAUCACUAUAUAAGGAUAUGGAAUAUAAUUCUGUGAAAUUCCCUCAUUAGUUGGAAAAAGCUUUUGUUCUAAAAAAGAGGAAGUGUGGGGGGUAUGCAAGGGUGUGUGGGAAGGGUACACAAUAGUUCCUACUGCAGUACAAACUAUGCAGGAACAGAGCUAUCAGCUAAGUGGAAAAUAGGAAUCAGCUUUGUUCCUAAGGAAAACAACUCCCAGGAGGAAGCAAAAGUCCAUAUGUAGAGUGGAUAACUGCUGAUGUGCUGUUCAGCUUUGCUUCCCACAGAGCAAUGAGAAUUCAGCAUAUUUUGUAUUUUAAAGUGGCACCCAUGAAAUUAUGGAUAUUCUGAUAUAUAAAACUUAACACAUGCUUAGAAAGGAUAAAGCACUUUGAACCCUGGGUCAUUUCAGCCAGUUAAAAGAUGCUGAUGUGCUAGUCUUUUCUGCAUUGAAGAGGUGAGAAUAAAUGUUCUGUUCUUGCAGAGCCUGGUGAUUGGCCACAUGAUGAAAGCGCCUCUUAUUGGCACCUGGAAGAUACGUGUGACAUGUGGUCAGGGAAGUCAAACACUAAUUCCAAGCCUCUCAGUUACCUUUCCUAAUAACUCUCCAUAAUUCUGUAUAACACGCUGCAGGAAACUGGUUGUUAGAAACGUGGGGUCUGAGGGAGGGACUGCUGACUGUCUGCUGACUUCCAUAUCUCAGAGCCAGCAGUGAGCUGGUUGGUUGAUCUGACACUUCUGUGUUUUCACAUCAAAAGUCCCCCAAGUGUCUGUUCCUAUAAUAUCUUAAAAAGCCAUUUAGCAUCAUUUAUCUGCCUUUUGAUUUCUGUAUCUCCAGGGAGUGUUUUACUAAGGCUUUUAAACUGCUCUUGGCAAUACAAACGUAGAAAGGGGCUUUAUUUAACUGGUAUGAAGCUUAUGCCACUGUAAAUACCCUAAAUGUAGUAGUAUCACGUUAAAUUACUUGCUGUGAUAAAUAUUUCAGGGUAUAGUUAUGAUACUGCUGUGACUUGUAACAACUAGGAAAGUGAGGGUGACAUGACAUAUGGUCUCUGUUUUGUGCCAGUAGUUCUGUGUACAUGAAGUUAUACUGGCAAAACUGUUGUUGCUGUAAUCUGUUCUGUGAAUUAUGACUUUUCUUGGUGUAAGUAUAAUGCACAUCACUGCAUCAUUCAAAAUAGGAGGAGUUUGAGGUUUCCUUGUACUGGUGUGGUUAUAGCAUAAAUGGAUGACAGGCACAUUUCUGUACAAGAUAUUAACACAAGUAAAUGAGUUUUAGUACAAUUUAACUAUGAAGUUUGAGGCCCCUGAAUACAAGGUCAUAAAGGAAAUUCAGGGUUUGCGCAGAAUAUUAGUUGGCUUUUUUUGUUGUUGUUUGCUUGUUCGGUUUUUUUUUUCCUCAUAGGUUUCCUCAGGAGGCUUGUUUCACAUCUGCUUUAACAGGAUAAUGUCAAAAGUGCAACCAUGUAAAAACUGUCAGCUGAACGCCCCCUAGCUGAAGUAAUUUUUAGAACAUGAAUAAGGUAAAGUUUUCCAGGGUGCUCUAAUACACAGCUGAGUUGAAUCCCACAUUCAGAGUUUCUUGUUUUGUAGUUUCAACUCAGCUGAACUGUUACUCUAAGGAUGGAUACAUUUGUGUUCCUAUACUGAUCAUUUUGGAAAAGUAUUUUAUGUUAAGGAAGCAAUCUUCAUUUUCUGUUGUUUUUAGUUGGAAAAAAAAAAACUUCUCUCCAUGUAGGUAAGACUUUGUUCUAUUUUGUAUACACAAUAAUAUUAAUUCUGCCCUUUGCUCGAUCAGAUUGUUCAGAGUACAUCUGUCCACAGAUCAAUCUUCUAUACAUUUAACAGAAGGUUUAUCUUAUCCCACUUAUGCAGGUUCCUGUUGUCCAUAUUCUUACUCUAAGUGCCUAACUUUCAUUGCACGUUACAAUGAAAUACAUAGUUUAAAGAAAAAAAUAUAUGAAGUUAAGCAUAUUGGGUAAUUGCUACUGAGUUCUGCAUAGACUCUACUACGAGAGUCUAUAAGAUCAUUGAGAAAGUGAAACCUAGCUAGAAAGCAUGUUACAGGAUGCUUAAAGUGACUGUACACCUUUUCCUUUGCUGUGUUGGCAUCACUACUUAUGCAUUACAGAAGAAUGUGCUCAAGAAUAGUUAUACACUUACAUUAUUUUGGUAGGUGUAAAUAAAAUAAAAUAAAGCUAAUGAGGAUUACUGACUGUUUUUGCUGACAUUAUUGAAUUAGUUUUUCCUGGUUUAGUGCUUUCUGAACAUGUGAGCAUUCAUGAACAGGUGGAGUGCCAUCACAAACUGUCUAUAUAUUAUAUUCUCAUAUUUCUCCAAGCAGAAUUCACGGAGCUGAACAGGAGUAAUUGAUAAUGUUAUACAUAAGUGCUGUCUUUGAGUUCAUAAUGGAAGUGUAUUCAUUAUAACUUGAAUGCUAAACAGCAACUGUCUUGAAGAUGAAUUGACAAAGGUUCAGUACUUCUGUCCCCUCCAGUAAACUUUCAAGAAUUUUGUAAAGUAACACAAUCUUGGCAUUCUGUACAACAUGUAAAACAGCCCAAAAGAGCACAACUCUUAUAUUAUCCUUUGUUGAUGACUGUUAGUUCAGAGAGCUCCUUGUAAAAUGCUUUUAUCUUGGCUACAACUAUGCCCAGCAUGCUAGUCCAGAAGUUCACAAAAUCAUAGAGGUUAAAAGGAACCUCUGGAGAUCAUCUAGUUACAACCCUCUGCUAAAGCAGGUUCCCUCAUAUAGGCUACACAGGAAAGUGUGCAGGUGGGUUUUUAAUAUCUACAGAGAAGGAGACUCUCUGAGCAGAUAGUUCCAGUGCUCUGUCACCCUCAAAGUAAAGAAGUGCAAAAGCAGCCUCCUAAGCUUGUUAUAUGAAAAUCACCAGCAGGUACACUGAUGGUUGUAUUUUUUUUUUUUUGCACAAAUGAAAAAGUGUUGAUUGAAGAUAAUUUACUAUCAGCUAAGAAACUUAUUUGCUACCAAAACACUUGAGAGGAUAAUUAGUCUUGAAAAAAAUCAAGAAAAAGAUUUUAGUUAGACAUUAGGUUUUCUCUGUUAGUCUUGCAAGUCUUGGAUAUGCCAAACUACUAUGAUUAUUGUCAGACCUUAAAUAAUCACCUACCUACACCAAAAUACAACAAUGACAGACACAAAUGCAGAAUUGCUGUAUCAACAUUUCUGAACCAUUACUGAUACCAGUACUAUGUACUUGUUGGUUACUGAGUUCCAACUUGGAUACAAAUGCUGUUAUGUGUUGUAAGCAGCAAACCAUAAUGAAAGAAUAGAGGAAAUUGACCUUCAAACUGUAUUAAUUUAUCAUAUGUUGCAAUCUUUCUUUAAGUCAUUCUGCCGUAUUACUUCCAUGUUUACCUAAACACUUUGCUAUAAUCUAAAAGGUUCACUGAAAGAAAUGGAUUCUGCUCUUAGAUAUCUAAAGUUUGAUCUGUGUACAACACUGAGCCAGGAUUUUGGCUUAUCCCCGAAACUGGCACUUUUAUGACCAAGAACUGCAAUUGGAUCCCAGUUCUUCCAACAGUCUCAUUCUAAGCAUUUUUGCAACAAUAGUUCCCUCUAUUACAGGAACUACAGAAUGCUUCAAAUACAAAUGGAUUAUUUAAUACUGGUUAGUGCCUCAACUGUGACAUUUUGUUGCCUUUAGAUUUUAAUGUGUCAGGAGGAAAAACUAUUUGUUGGCUGUCCUAUUUUGUAAUAAUUCAUUCUCUGUAAGUCCUCAUUAUAAUGAGAAAUUACAGCCACGACAUUUACAGGAUCCUGUCAGGUUCCUCUCUUCUCUCUUGUCCCAUAGAAUCUCCUAGCAUCAAGAAGCAGAAACAGCUUUUUCUUUUUCUCUGUUUUCAAAUAAAUGUUCCACAGUUGUAAGCGAAGGACAGUGGUCAUUGAAGAAAAGCAUCAUGUCUGGUAAUGGAGUAAUUAUGUUUUUAACCGUAGUGAAGGUUUUUUUUGCUCUGUAUGGCCAUUUAUGCCUACUACUGUACUAAUAUAUAAGAGUUGCUUAUAUAUAAGAACAGUAUUCACAAUUCUCUAAACUCUAUGCUUUAUUAUCUGUCUUUACACUGCAUAAAUAUGGAUGAAAAUAUAGUGAACCUCAGGCUCUAAGUAGGUUAAUUAGUACUUAUUACUCAGUAUUUGUAAACACACAUUGAGUGUUUUUGUCUUUUUUUUGUUUUUAAUGACUACAUGGUUGAGAUAGGCUGAAAAAAAACACCACCAAGAAUAGGAAAACAAGGCUGAGGCAGCUGGGCUUGUUCAGCUUGGAAAAGAGAGGGCUCCAGAGGGGAAGACCUCAUUGCAGCCUUGCAGUACUUGAAGGGAAUUUAUAAAUAGGAGAGAAACUGAAUUUUUAUAUGGGCAGAUAGUGAUAACAGCAAGGGGGAAUGGUUUUAAACUGAAAGAGGAGAGAUUUAGGUUAGAUGUUAGGAGGAACUUCUUCACUCAGAAGGUGGUGCAACACUGACACAGCUGUCCAGAAGAGCUGUGGGUGUCCCAUCCCUGGAGACGCUCAAGGCCAGGCUGGAUGGGGCCCUGGGUAGCCUGAGCUGGUGGGUAUGAGCCCUGCUUGUGGCAGAGGGGUUGGAACUAGAUGAUUUUAAGGUUCCCCCCAAUCUGAGCCAUUCUAUGAAUCAUUUGCUACUAGGAGUACUGGCAUGUGAUUUUAUGAAAAGUCAUAAGAAUUGAGGCAUUGGUAUUCUUCUGCAUGUUUUGUGAAAUGGGAAGAUAGCAAAGAAAAAUCAGAAAAAUUAGAUAAUUUUGACAAAUAAAAAUGUAUGGAAUUUCAUAUUAUUUUCCUGCAAAAAGCAAGAAAAAUGGCAAGAUUGUUAACUGUUGACAUAGUAUACCAGGAAUCAACAGCUAUUAAAAUUUUGUGCAAAUCUAAUUCAGCUCUGCAAAUGAGAACAGUGAUUGCAUGAGGUACUUGCAAGGUUGAAUGUUAACUACAGACCUUUGUGCUAGAAUAGGUAUAUCCUUUUAUGGAAUUAGUCUCAAUAUAAGCUGAACAAAGGAUAUGGGAGAGAGUAGGUGUUUCAUGACACACAGUGAAAUCAUGGAACUUUGUGCGCGUGAAGUUGCUGCUCUUCAGCUACUGUCUUGUAAUUGAACGACACUGUAGUAACCAGGGGUUGUACUUCCAUAGUGAAUAUUUGGGCUGUCCUUCCAGCUGCAGCAUUCUAUAUUUCUAAUGGGAAAUACAGAUAACACUGAGAAGUAAAAAAAAAUAAAAUUCUAAGAUAUGCCCUUUUUGUGACCAAGGAGUGCGAACAGCUGAUAACAUGGCAGUGUCAGGUCACACCUACACAGAUCAAAUUCAAGCUGUAUAUGUGUGCAAUGUAACUGAAGCUGGUGGAAAUGGUCUUAUAUACAUGGUACAUACAGUAGUUUGAGAUUUUUACUGCUCCUGGAGCUCCAUUCUAUUCGUGCUAUAGUUAUCACCCAUGAGACAAAGGUAGCAGAACAAGAUAUAUGAGUUUUACUUCUGCUUAUCUACUUUCUGACUUGAUUGUUUAGUGCAAACACAUCUUCAUUGUUGAUGAAAAUUAAAAUGUCAGAUUUGGAGUGACUUAGAAAAAGAUGUGGAUUUUUACCUUUCUUCUGUCUCUGCUUAAGGACAUAGCCUUUGACAGAUAACAGUUAACAUCUACAACAGUAAUGUGCACUAAUAAAUUUGUCAAAUCUUCUUCACAUAAGCUUUAAGUUUGAAUAGUUUUUUUCCAAUAUUAAUGGAUCUGCUGCACAUCUUCUCAAGAUUAACAAGACCAAAUACUACUUUCACAAUAUUCUGAAGAAGCAACUUUUUAGAAAAUUCCCAGGAAAAAAAAAAUUAGAAAAUUUUAAAAAUUUGACCUUGGAUUUGUAUUUAAAAUGUUCUGAAAUUUGACUUCUGUAAUUGCCACUUUGAGGGGCAGAUCAUCAUAUCUUGUAUAUUUAGCAAGCCCAGCUAUGUGGAAGCAACUUGGGAUGUGACCUUGUGUAAAUGCUUUUUAAAUUACUCAGAAUCGUUUCACAAAUCUAAUUAGCAUGUGAUAAAAUCACUUCAAUUCACCUAAUUUGACACUAGUCAUUAAAUCAAUUCAUGAAGUUUUAUUUGUCUAUUGUUACAUAUUAUUGAAUGUCAUUUUUAUGUGAAGAGAACUUAAAGUGAAUCACCCUAAAUAGAAAUUAUAAGCCAGUGUAUCAUUCUUGCUCUACGUGUCAGUAUUUAUCUUGGCCAGCAAAUUGUCAUAUGUUUUUUUUCCUGAGGAAAAAGCAAGCCAUGCUCUGAAGGGAGAGAGAAAAAAAUCUGUGCUGUGUUUGUAGGAGGUGCUGUUUAAUCAGCUAGACCAGUUAAUAACUCUUGCUGCCUUUUUUUAUUUGUCAAGGGCUCAAUAUUUUUUCAAUAUGAGGUCUGCUUCAGUGUGCUUUAAAUGACAGUUUAUAAUUAAUGGUACUUGAGUGUGCCUCAUUUCAAAAAUUCAUACAACAUUCUUGGUUACAAUUUAUACAUGAUUUCAAAGUAUAAUUAACGUUCAGUUUUACAAGAUAUAUGCAAACAGAUAUGCAAAUUUGAAAAUAAAUAUGCAAACAUAGAAAAUGUUGUUGAAUUAAGUAGUCCUUAACAUUUUUAAUGAAAUCAAUAUUUUAUUCAUAUUUUGCACACAAUUUUGAGUACUUAGUGAUUUGAUAGUUCUCAGACUUCUGUGGACCAUGUCUGAAGAUUAAUUCUCCUGUGACUCAUCUUGUCUUUCAGUCUCCUGAACUUUCCUUAUGGAAAACAGGAGCUAAUCAAAACCCCUCUGAAUUACUGGGAUUCUUUUCAGUCAUGCUGUGUGGGUAUUUCUGAUAGUAACUUUAGCAUGUUACUGAAACAGCUGAAAAUAAUACUAAACCUUUAUCUAGUCCAUGGUUCCAUUCCUAACAAUAGCCAAAAAAACAGAAACACCUAGAGAAAAAUAUGAAAAUACACCUCAAAUGCAUCACCUGAAGUUUUUUCUAGCCUACAACCAUUUAUGAGUCAAAAAAUUUCAAUGGUGAUUCUCCAUGCUGUUCAGCCCCAGGCCCCCAUUUUCCUUAUUUAAACUGCUACUAAGGUAAUUUGUCUUGCAUCCUGCCAUGUUGCCCCCCGCAGCUUGUCUGUGUAAAGACCUCUGAUGCGUUAGAGGCAUUUGAUCAAUUCCAUGCUGUUGUCCCUAAGGAAACCAUUUUGUACCUUACUACUCUGUGACAGUGGUGUCUUAUGGGAUAUUCUCACUUCCCCCAUCCUCACCACUAUAUCCAAAUACAUGAGUCAGGGGCUUGAUGUAUUUUUCCUCUGGAUGUGGGAGGCUAUUUUCACUGCUGCACUGUGCUAGUAGCCCUUACUUAUAUAAAUUUAUUUGUAAAUUUCCUGUAUGAUUGUUGUCCUUGAAUGCUUGCUAUUCGUUGGCUUUGGUUGCCAACAAACUUGCUUCCUACCAAGGAAAUGUUAUCUCAGAAGACAAUGUAGUUAAGAUACCCAGGCAACCAAGGUAUAAAGAUGUAUGGAAGUUUGUAUUUAACUGAUAAGAGAAGUACCUGAAGAGGGCCUACAGGAAAGCUGAGGGGGAACUUAUUAUAAAGGCAGGUACCAACAGGACGAGGAGGAAUGGUUUUAAACUGGAAGAGGGUAGAUUUAGACUAGAUAUUAGAAAGAAAUUCUUUCCUGUGAGGGUGGUGAAACACUGGAACAGGUUGACUAGUUGGUUGUGAAUGACCCUUCCCUGGAAGCUUUCAAGGCCAGGCUGGAUGGGGCUUUGAGCAACCUGGUCUAGAGAGAGGUGCCCUGACUAUAGCAGGAGGGUUGUAACUAGGUGAUCUUAAAGGUCCCUUCCAACCCAAACCAUUCCGAUGCUAUGAGAAAGUCCUUGGGGAUCCUGAGAGAAACUCAAGGUUCUGGCAGUAGUUGCUGGUAAAUAACUAGGUAGUAGUACUGGGACACUGAUAGGUGCUUCGUUGUUGGAACAGGUAUAUAUGUUAUGAUAAUAUAGUAGAUUGAGCUAGGAGAUAAAAUCUUGCACUUCGCAACUGCAACCUAUGCUCUUUAUAGUGUAGUUAUAUAAUGCAAACUGAGGAGGGGCACAAAGAAUAGUUGAAGGGUUUAGUGUCAGAAAGGACAAACAUAGGCUGACAUCGUAGGCAGUAUGUAGAAGCAGGUUUCCAUUCUGUCUUUAUUGCCAAUCAAAGCAUGCUUUGAUUUUUGAACCACUGAAAGAAUAUUACAGAAUUUCUGCAGCUGCAGAAAUUACUGGAAUCUAACAGUUUCUUCAGGCACUUAGCAAAGCCUUCUCCAUCUAGAUUCUAGUGCUAGACAGGAUGCUUAGACAAACGUUGACAUACAUUGCAGUAAUUUGUGUAUCUGAGCGUAUAGAGUAGAUGAGUGUGGUACAGAAAAUUGUGUUCAAGUCAGAAUGCACCAUAGACAGCAGGAGGCAUACAAUAUUUGACUGCAGUCUCAGAAUCUGAAGCAACAUUAAGCUAUUCAUAACACUUCAAAUUCUGUGGAUCCCACAAGAUAACUAUGGGCCAAAGAGUGAAUGUGGUUUCCUAUCCUUGGCUUGCAGGACUACUGAUCAAGAUAGCAUGUCUAGGCCCUAAGUGAUUUAGAGUUACUACAUAACAUUCCUACACAUGUAAAGAGCUGUACUAAAUUCAGUGUUGUUAAUUAAUUAGGACUUGCUCAUAUAAAUAAAGUUUAUAGGAUUUUUCUCUGAUGUUUUUUCAACAAAAGCUGGAAUGUCUCACUUAGUCUAUGUUGGCGCACAACUGAUCAAAAUAGUAAUUAUAUAUCUGAAGAAACAUUACUUCAAAAUAGACUAGAAGGCAGUUUUGAUCAUUGCAAACUGGUAUUUGAAGUACAGUGUUUUGGUUAUGAGAUACAGAAAAAUGUAUAUGCACGUGCAGGUGUGUAGCCAAAAUGCUAUUUCAGGGCAAAGAAGUGCUAUAAUAUUUUCUGAAAUAUGUUCAUUUAUUACUACAUGUGUAGUGAGGGAAAACUGUACAGCUGCUUUCCCGUACAUCUGUAGUAGUUUCAACAUUUCUAGCUGAUUACUCACUGAAACGAAGACAUUCUGGAGAUCUGCUGUACUUAGCAAAACAGUUUUCAGAGCUAUGCAACAUCCUCUGCCUUCAUGUCAAAUAAUCUUGGUUUUAAAAGAUUACGUGUGCAUAGUUACUCUGUUCCAUAUGCCUUUUCUUCUCCUAGAAUAUUUCAGAUUUGGUUUUUUACAAUGUUUUAUUUCUGUGGGCUGGAUUUCAUUUCAACUGAUUGCUCUUUCCCCUCUUCAUUCUAUUGUAGUUAUUUUUUGAAUGUCUCAAAUUCUCCAAUGGAUUUAUGACAAUCUGAAAAUUAACAAUGGCCCCUUAAUUGCACAGGGCUGAGUGAGUCACAAAGUCUGUACGUGACUGAUGUUUCUUUCCCCUUACUUCAAUCCAGGCAGUUCUGUAUGCUUUUUAAACCUGUGUAGAGGUGGUAAAAUGUGUAUAUGUUGAAACUUUUUCUUCCUGGCGCUCCAUCACUUGGAAAGCAAUCUGAGGCUUUUCCAUAGGCUAAUGUAUUGGCAGUAACUUAUAAAACCCCAAAAAUAUGGAAGCAUGAUUUUUGAUUAUGCUAUAAAUUGGGAUUAUUUCCUUCAGGCAGGCGGAAGGACAUGCCAGCUGGACUUUAUAUUUUGGCUGUUAGAAAGCUUUAGGAGCCAAAAUUAUAAUUAGCUCACUCAUAUUAAAAUAUGUGCUCCCUAGCUAUAUUCUUUUUUUUUUUUUUUGCCAGAGCCUGAUACAGUUUCUGAAGGACGCAUUUCCCCUCAGCCCAGGAAAUAUGCAUCAUAGUGUUGGUGUUACCCACCCACCUGUGCAGUGGCUAUUGCAGUACUUGCACAGAGAGGCAGCACACCUGCUGCCUGGCACGUGACAGGCGUAUGGUUGUACCGUAGGGGUGGCUGCAGAGGCUGUGGGCUGCCUCCUUCACUGCUUGGGACAUCAACUGCAGGGAUAAACACUUUAGGCUAAUACGAUAAGAGUUGCUCAGAACUGCAGGAAAUGCAUCUAAAACAGGAUAAGAAGAAAAACAGAGCUUGUUCAUAAAUAAGACAUCAGUGCAAGAAAGUAACUUGUAUUUCAGUAGCACCUUGUUUUGUUUUACAAAGUAAUGCCAGAGAAUUCCAGCUGAGAUCCAGCUGGAGUCCACAAAGCAACUAUUGCACAUGGAAAGUGGGAAUGAAUGACUGGUAGGCACUGCAGAAAGAACCUUUACCUAAGGAAUUUCUCAGAAAACAUGGGCUACAGCAGAGGAUGCUAAAACUUUCUAUAAGAGCAUCAUUUUAUUUGAGUGAGAACUGAGAUAAGGUUCUACAAUUGUUGGGAAGUGAAGAGGGAAUAUUCAGAGCACAAAGUAUUAUGUCCAUCUGAGAGCUGUUCACCAUUCACAGCUGUGGAUUUAAUUAGCUGUAGCUCUCCCAGCUGAAGGGGCCAGCUGAAGGCUAUCCUGUUGCCUUGGCAUUGGCGAGGUGUGUAUUCAUGUUACAGCAGGGGGCUCCAGAGUUGCAGGGAGACUUCACUGAGCAACAAUCAGUCACAUCAGAACUCUGAAAGACAUUUUAAAAAGUAUUGAAUCGGAUUAUUUAUUAUUUCAACUUAAAAUCUGAAAGAUGAAACGGAUUUCUUGCAGACUUAAGAAACGCAUGGAUAAAAGUGGUCUUGCAAAUUAAUCAGUGUGCUUUGGUACCCCAAAAGGAGAAAUUUCAAAACUAGAGGAGAAGAAAGAUCUAGAAAUUAGUGUAUGUCUUAACUUGAAGUUUCAAGACAAACUAUUAAUGUUACUCCUUGAGGGUGAUACUAAUAUCUGGCAAGCUUUUUUUCUUCCUGGUUACAAGAACUGGUGCACUUUCCUCUCUCUAUCCAGCUGUUUUUCAUCUGCUAAGAGAUUAGGAAAUAUUUCUUAUAAUGUUUGAGUAGAAAGCUUUCUUAUUAAUGCUAGUAAUCAGAGAGGCAGUUCAAAGCAGAUUUGACUUUCUAAGUAAUACAUGUUCUGUAUCUUAGUUUUGCUUAGACUCUUGAAUUCAUGCUAAUCUUUGUUGCCAUUUACCAUUCUGCUUUUUUUCACAUAAGAAGAGUGAAUACUUUGAAGUAUGCUACUACCAGAUCUUACCAGAUCACUGAACAGAAAUGCAUGACUAGUGCUCUAGAAAGUGAGCAUAAAGUUGUAUUAUUUGAAAGUGACUGUAGUUUCUCUGCUGAAAAUUUACAAGCAUUACUGUAUAGUUCAUAACAUCUGUAAAAAAAAAAAAAAAAGUUUUCUUUUCAUGGACUAUUUUCUGUGUUUUGAAAGUAAUGAAAUAUAAAUGAUGAGAAAAUAGUAAAAAAUAUGAACAGGGAUAAAACUCGAAACCUUUACCAUUUACUCAUAGCUGAAAUGCAAACCCUUAACUUUCCUCUGAGUUAGAGUUAUAUACUUGCACAAGUAGAAUCUUUUUCUUUUCAUCAUAAAGGUCAUUUUCUAUUGGCUAAAUUCUUCAUAACUUAGGUUUUUUUUUAACUAUCUUUAAUUAAAAUAAACGACAGCUCUGUAGUUCUCUUGGUUGUUUUGGUAUUUUUGCCACAGUAAUUCCGAUUCAGUUUCAAAAAUGUCCAGUAAGCAAAAUGAGUCUGUUGGUUGGAAACAGUGGUAUAAUUUUUGGAUGGGUGGGGAAAAAGCAAAAUAUGUCUUUUCAAAGUAAGGAAAAAAGUCUGUAGAUGCUACAGACCUGAUUUUAGCCCAUUUAUUCAGUAUAAUAGUACUGAUAAGCACUGUUUUGCUAUGUUCCUAAUGAUUUGAUUCCAAACAGCAAGUGUAAACAAAGAUCAGUGUAGCAGAAAUGUUGUCACGGCUUGAAACAGUGAUUGAGCACCUGGUGGGAAGGCAGGGCCAAUCCAGGGGAGCUCAGAUGCAUGCAGUACACCUGAGUGAUUGGAAGGGGUGGAGCCAGGAUUCCCCCCACCCCCCCACCUUCCCGGACCUCAUUUAAGGACUGGCAGUGGGGGUAAGGGUAUUUCAUUGGAAAUCCCUGUGUACCUGAGGCCUUCCAAGGGUAGGCAGAUUUUUUUUUCCUUUUUUUUUUUUUGUGUCUACAGCUGCUGUGUUUGAGUAUAUCCUCACUUGCUGCAACCUAGGACUUAGCUACUAUGCUGCCAUUGUUGUGCUUUCCAUCAUGUUAUAACAUUAUAAUCAGUAAUCCCAGAAAUUAAACUGCAAUCCUAGGUAUUUGUCUUGAUUCCUACCUCUUGUUUAUAUGCAUAUGUGUAAAGGUGUCCAAAACUUAUGUAAGAACAAAGAAGCUUUAAGUCAUUUCACGUUAUAGGAAAUUGAUAUUUUGCUUUGGCUAUUUGAUCUGAAGUGAGUCUAGCUUUGUAAUUAGUUUUGCUUCUGGAGAUUUGUCUGCUUUGUUGUCUUUGCCUAAAGUGACCUAUAGCUCAAGACUACUCUGCUACCUGAAGAUAACUCUACUAGUAGUUACAUCUUUUUUGACCUGUGGACUUCUCUUGCCUAGUCUUCUCUAGACUUUGCAGUUACCUAUUUUAACAGGGGGCUCCCUGGGCCUCAAAAGCACUGUACUCCUGUAAUAUUUCAGCCAGAUAAUCUAUAAACACUUGCUGUUAGUGAUCAUAUCAUAGGAGAGAGUAGAAAGUUUUUCAUGGUUCCCUCAAUUACAGGUGGUUAACUGUUAUUAGCUACCUUAAAUAGUAUAUUAUAGGUCUACAGCAUAAAAGAAGUGAGAACUUUUUUUUUUUGUAUGAGAGAAAGUAAUGUGAAAGUGAAAACUAUGAUAGAGCAUAAUGUCUAUAUGGAAGGUUCUCUAUAUAAUUUUGUGGCUUUGGUGUAGAUAAGUAGUUGCGUGGAAUAAAAAACCUGAAUUCUUCUGAACUUACCAUUUAAUAAAGAAUCCACGAAAAAAGAAAAGACCCAUAAAUAAAUGAAUAGAUAGUGAGUUUCCAGUUGAAAAGAAGCAAUGAAAACCUAGAAAGAGGGUGGAAAAUGAAGAGGAUUAGGUGCCAAAAACAAGGUGCCAAUAAAAUCAGAAUUUGUUGGAUUGGAGUGAGCGAUGAUCCCUAGUUCCUCGUUAAUUCCAUAUGCAGUGCGUGUUGCCAGAGUGCUUUGGUCCUAGAUUAAUUUGCAAAGAAUUUUGAUCAACAACUUAUAUUUUCCACAAAAAAUGUCAGUGGAGAAAGGUAGAGAAGGAAACCUAUACAAAGUGGUCGUAGUAGAUGCACUGGGAUUGGAGGGCUGGUGUUUUUAGAACUAAGGAUUCUAAAAGAUCUCCUUUAGUGUAAUGAUCAGAGCGUAAGUAAUUAUUCUGUCUAUUUCUCUUACUGGUCACCAAAGAAAAUAAUUCUCUAAUUUUAACACUUAUUUGUAUACAGUACUAAUAUUAUGGAAACACUAAAUGCACUUUGGUUUUUUUUUUUUAAUAUUAAGAAACUAUGCUAUUAUCCAGCUGUAAUUAAACCAUUAGAGAGAUUUUUCAGGAUCACAGGUAAGUCAGAUAAAUAUUUUGGCUUUGGAUUUAUGGGUACAGAGUCUGUGAUCAGCAGUUGGUGUUUGGCAUGCAGCUGCCUACUCUAUCCUUUAUUAUGCACUAACUCAUUUCCUUGAUUGGGAUUUGGGGAUGAGGAAAUAAUUUCCUAAAUGAUAAGGGGGGAAAAAAAAGUAAUCUACUUCAUUCUGGUUAGCCACUGCAUUAAAAACUGUCAAAAACAUAUUGGUCUAGGUUCAUCUCUGCUGCAACUCCAUUGAUUACAGUGGAGUUAAAUCAAAGAUGAAUCUGUCUGCUCAAUUUAAAUCUAAUGAUUGGUUAAAAGUCAGAGGAGAGCCCUAUCUAAAUCUAGUGCUGUUUUAUCCUUGUGUCAGCAUUUAAUUCCAUUUGCAUAUAAGCCUAUUUCCCUUUUUCUAAAUUUAAUUUGUUAGAGCUUGGCCCUCAGCAACAACAGCAACAACAAAGUAAUUGCAUACAGUAUUGGGCAGUGGUGCCAAUACAGCAUGAGCUAUAAAAAUGUCUCACGCAAAUUUAUAAAACAUAGUCAUUAGUCUGUUUGGUAACAGCAGAAUCUAGAUGUCUGGGAAAAAAAAAAGUCAAGCUACUUCAAGGACAUGUGACAUUUAAGAAUAUACAUACGAAGAAGCAUUUUUUUUUUUUAAAUAACCGCUAUUAGUUGUGGCCAUUUCACCAAAGGAAAUGGAGUAUC